UACAGAGGUCCCGAGCGUUGUUCGGAUUCACUGGGCGUAAAGGGUGCGUAGGUGGUGAGGUAAGUCGGAUGUGAAAGCUCGGAGCUCAACUCCGAAAUGGCAUUGGAAACUACCUUGCUCGAGGGUUGGAGGGGGGACUGGAAUACUUGGUGUAGCAGUGAAAUGCGUAGAUAUCAAGUGGAACACCAGUGGCGAAGGCGAGUCCCUGGACAACUCCUGACACUGAGGCACGAAAGCUAGGGGAGCAAACAGG
This 253-nucleotide ribosomal RNA is filed under the name uncultured bacterium. RNAcentral's name for it is "partial 16S ribosomal RNA". It matches the Rfam family "Bacterial small subunit ribosomal RNA", at positions 524 to 776 of the family's 1533-position model. The record is from RNAcentral.